This 263-nucleotide ribosomal RNA is filed under the name uncultured bacterium. RNAcentral's name for it is "partial 16S ribosomal RNA". It matches the Rfam family "Bacterial small subunit ribosomal RNA", at positions 793 to 1055 of the family's 1533-position model. The record is from RNAcentral.
GUCCAUGCCGUAAACGUUGGGCGCUAGAUGUGGGGACCAUUCCACGGUUUCCGUGUCGCAGCUAACGCAUUAAGCGCCCCGCCUGGGGAGUACGGCCGCAAGGCUAAAACUCAAAGGAAUUGACGGGGCCCGCACAAGCGGCGGAGCAUGCGGAUUAAUUCGAUGCAACGCGAAGAACCUUACCAAGGCUUGACAUUUACGAGAACGCUGCAGAAAUGUAGAACUCUUUGGACACUCGUAAACAGGUGGUGCAUGGUUGUCGU